Molecule: long non-coding RNA, 814 nt
Filed under: Nicotiana benthamiana
Lineage: Eukaryota; Viridiplantae; Streptophyta; Magnoliopsida; Solanales; Solanaceae
Description: long non-coding RNA (NBEN_LNC029687)
Source: RNAcentral
CACAACCAUCUGAAGGAAGUUGAUAUGAACACGAACGCACUAAGAAGGGCUGGGGCUAGAGUGCUGGCUCGAACCGUGCUGCACAAAGAUGAGUUUAAAUUACUAAAUGUUAAUGGGAAUUUCAUCUCAGAAGAAGGUGUUGAUGAGUUGAAAGACAUCUUUAAGAAAUCUCCUGAAAUGCUUGCAUCCUUGGAAGAUAAUCAUUGAUGAGUUGAAAGACAUCUUUGAGAAAUCGCCUGAACUGCUUGCAUCCUUGGAGGAUAAUGACCCAGUGAGAGAAGAUGACGAUGAUGAUGAAGAGGAGAAAGAAUCCGGAGAUGAAGGCAAAGACGGUGAGGAUGAACUGGAAUCAAAACUCAAAAACCUUGACGUCAAGUGAGAUGAGGAGUCUUGACUCACCAGAUAGCAAUUAGAAUCCAAUAUUUGUUGACUUUAUGUAUGUUGCAAUUUUGGUUUUGCCAUCUUUUGUUUAUGCCAAGCUGGCCAUAUUAUGUUCCUCCAGCAGGUGCUAACAUAUAAUUCCAUCAGUCAUUUAAAUUUGGUGGGAUGAAUUGUUGCUUUAUUGGUCAAGUUAGGUCUAGCUAAAUAUACCAGAGAAAACAAUUAUUUAUGUUGAACUUUUUGGGGUUAUGUAGACUGAUGGUCUCACCCUUUUUUGUUCCUGUAUUGCAUUUGACUUGUUUGAUUUUAUUGGCGAACUGAAUACGUGUGCUAGUUUUCCUCCCUUAUGAGAUGAUUUUAUCAGACAAGCAAGCACGUCAUUGCUGGAGUCUGUAGGUUACCGGUGACAUUUUUCAAAAGCUGCUUUCAUUUG